GCGAAGGUGGCGGAAUUGGUAGACGCGCUAGCUUCAGGUGUUAGUGUUCUAACGGACGUGAGGGUUCAAGUCCCUCUCUUCGCA
This 84-nucleotide transfer RNA is filed under the name Biostraticola tofi. It matches the Rfam family "tRNA". From Rfam's summary of the family: Transfer RNA (tRNA) molecules are approximately 80 nucleotides in length. Their secondary structure includes four short double-helical elements and three loops (D, anti-codon, and T loops). Lineage: Bacteria; Pseudomonadati; Pseudomonadota; Gammaproteobacteria; Enterobacterales; Bruguierivoracaceae. The record is from Rfam by way of RNAcentral.